This 497-nucleotide ribosomal RNA is filed under the name uncultured bacterium. RNAcentral describes it as "partial 16S ribosomal RNA". It matches the Rfam family "Bacterial small subunit ribosomal RNA", at positions 28 to 507 of the family's 1533-position model. The record is from RNAcentral.
GAUGAACGCUGGCGGCGUGCCUAAUACAUGCAAGUCGAGCGAACAGACGAGGAGCUUGCUGCUCUGACGUUAGCGGCGGACGGGUGAGUAACACGUGGAUAACCUACCUAUAAGACGGGGAUAACUUCGGGAAACCGGAGCUAAUACCGGAGAAGAUAUUGAACCGCAGGGUGCAAUAGUGAAAGACGGUGUUGCUGUCUCUAAUAGAUGGAUCCGCGCCGGAUUAGCUAGUUGGUAAGGUAACGGCUUACCAAGGCAACGAUGCGUAUCCGACCUGAGAGGGUGAUCGGCCGCACUGGAACUGAGACACGGUCCAGACUCCUACGGGAGGCCGCAGUAGGGAAUCUUCCGCAGUGGGCGAAAGCCUGACGGAGCAACGCCGCGUGAGUGAUGAAGGUCUUCGGAUCGUAAAACUCUGUUAUUAGGGAAGAACAAAUGUGUAAGUAACUAUGCCCGUCUUGACGGUACCUAAUCAGAAAGCCCCGGCUAACUACGUG